CCUACGGGUGGCAGCAGUGAGGAAUAUUGGUCAAUGGUCGGGAGACUGAACCAGCCAAGCCGCGUGAGGGAGGAAGGUACAGAGUAUCGUAAACCUCUUUUGUCAGGGAACAAAGGCGGGGACGUGUCCCCGGAUGAGUGUACCUGAAGAAAAAGCAUCGGCUAACUCCGUGCCAGCAGCCGCGGUAAUACGGAGUAUGCGGGCGUUAUCCGGAUGUAUGGGGUUAAAAGGGUGGGCAGGCGGUCUGUUAAGUCAGCGCUCAAAGCCCGGGGGCAAACCCCGGCCCGCAGUUGAAACUGGCAGUCUAGAGUUGGAGAGAAGUAUGCGGAAUGCGCGGUGUAGCGGUGAAAUGCAUAGAUAUCGCGCAGAACUCCGAUUGCGAAGGCAGCAUGCCGGCUCCACACUGACGCUGAGGCACGAAAGCGUGGGUAUCGAACAGGAUUAGAUACCCCAGUAGUC
RNAcentral lists this ribosomal RNA (459 nucleotides) under uncultured bacterium. Its description in RNAcentral is "partial 16S ribosomal RNA". It matches the Rfam family "Bacterial small subunit ribosomal RNA", at positions 338 to 795 of the family's 1533-position model. The record is from RNAcentral.